RNAcentral lists this ribosomal RNA (229 nucleotides) under uncultured bacterium. RNAcentral describes it as "partial 16S ribosomal RNA". It matches the Rfam family "Bacterial small subunit ribosomal RNA", at positions 568 to 796 of the family's 1533-position model. The record is from RNAcentral.
UCCGUAGGCGGGCAAUUAAGUCAGAGGUGAAAUCCCACAGCUCAACUGUGGAGCUGCCUUUGAUACUGGUUGUCUUGAGUUACAGUGAAGUAGAUAGAAUAUGUAGUGUAGCGGUGAAAUGCAUAGAUAUUACAUAGAAUACCGAUUGCGAAGGCAGUCUACUAACUGUAUACUGACGCUAAUGGACGAAAGCGUGGGGAGCGAACAGGAUUAGAUACCCUGGUAGUCC